Molecule: long non-coding RNA, 219 nt
Organism: Etheostoma spectabile (orangethroat darter)
Lineage: Eukaryota; Metazoa; Chordata; Actinopteri; Perciformes; Percidae
Exons: 2
Source: RefSeq, a predicted model, not a curated record
UUUGGCGUCUUUUCGAACUUUUGGCAGCUCAACUAGAAUUUAACGAGUAGUUAAUUAAAGGAUCAUGUGUUGGGAGCUUUGUAAUGCGCUAAAGAAACGGAACUUGAGAAAUAUAUUUAAAGAUAGCUCCGAUUUUAAGAUAUUUUACACAUUAGGAGCAACUGUUCUUGUGCUUCUGAAAGUAACGCAAGAAUCAAUAAAUUUUUAUUCUUUGGCAAA